RNAcentral lists this ribosomal RNA (253 nucleotides) under uncultured bacterium. RNAcentral describes it as "partial 16S ribosomal RNA". It matches the Rfam family "Bacterial small subunit ribosomal RNA", at positions 524 to 776 of the family's 1533-position model. The record is from RNAcentral.
UACGAGUGCCCCAAGCGUUAUCCGGAAUUAUUGGGCGUAAAGGGUGUGUAGGUGGUUUUGUUAGUCUUCUGUUAAAUUCUUCGGCUUAACCGGGGGUCUGCAAAAGAAAUGGCAAAACUAGAGGAUGCGAGAGGUGUGCGGAACUCAUGGUGUAGGGGUGAAAUCCGUUGAUAUCAUGGGGAACACCGAAAGCGAAGGCAGCACACUGGCGCACUCCUGACACUGAAACACGAAAGCGUGGGUAGCGAAUGGG